UACGUAGGGUGCGAGCGUUGUCCGGAAUUAUUGGGCGUAAAGAGCGCGCAGGUGGUUGAUUAAGUCUGAUGUGAAAGCCCACGGCUUAACCGUGGAGGGUCAUUGGAAACUGGUCGACUUGAGUGCAGAAGAGGGAAGUGGAAUUCCAUGUGUAGCGGUGAAAUGCGUAGAGAUAUGGAGGAACACCAGUGGAGAAGGCGGCUUCCUGGUCUGUAACUGACACUGAGGCGCGAAAGCGUGGGGAGCAAACAGGAUUAGAUACCCCU
Molecule: ribosomal RNA, 266 nt
Filed under: uncultured prokaryote
Description: partial 16S ribosomal RNA
Rfam family: Bacterial small subunit ribosomal RNA
Source: RNAcentral